UGGAGAGAAGAUGGAUGCACUUUUUCAAGGAUUAGUUGAUGAUCAUCGUAAGAACAAAAAGGAAAAUAGAAAUACUAUGAUUGAUCACUUACUUUCCUUACAAGAAUCACAACCUGAUGAUUACAGCGACAAAAUUAUCAAAGGGCUUAUUAUGGUUAGUCAUUUAUUAUUACUCCUCCCUCCAUGAUCUUUAGUCUUUUAAAUGAUCAAUUUUUUCUAUUUUUUUUUUAUUUUGACAAGAAAACAUAUUUUUCCUAACUCUUUUUUGGCAAAACUAAACAAAUUCGGUCUCCGUGAGCUUAACUCAGUUGGUAGGGAUAUCACACUAUAUGUGCAGGAGCUCGGGUUCGAACCCGGGACACUCCACUAAUUCAUCUUUAAGGUGAAUUUUCUAGCUACUAUGCUAUUUGACCAAAAAAAACUAAACAAAUUCAUUAAUUCAUUAAUAAUCGAAUACAUCAACUCGAAUCAUAUUGAUUAUACUAUCUCAAAUACUCAUAUCAUUAAUUAAGUGAUUGAACUCAAGUGAUUAAUGCACUCUCAUAAGAAUGAAUCAUUUGAGAGAAUUUGAGUUUAAUUUUAGUAGACUUUACUUAUCUUCUAGCCAAAUAAACUAAAGUUUUGAGACAAAAUUAAAAAUCUAAAAGAAUUAAUGAGUAGGGUUGAAUGGAGUGUUGAAUUAAAUGAAUAAAUGGUGUGGAGACUCAAUAAUAACUAAACAUUAUCAUAUAUAAUUAUGUGUAAUGUUUCUUUUUUGUUUUCCAGGCAUUGAUAGUGGCGGGAACAGAAACUUCCUCUAUAACAUUAGAGUGGGCGAUGUCAAAUUUGUUAAACCAUCCAGAAAUAAUGGAAAAGGCAAAGAUUGAAUUGAAUAAUCAAAUUGGACAAGAGUGUUUAAUUGAGGAAGCCGAAGCUAUCAAAUUACAAUAUCUUCAAAAUAUCAUCUCUGAGACUAUGCGGUUGCACCCACCAGCAACAAUGUUGGUGCCACAUUUAUCAUCUGAAGAUUGUAUUGUGGGAGGAUUUGAUGUGCCACGUAACACAAUGUUGAUGGUGAAUGCGUGGGCUAUUCAUCGGGAUCCUGAUUUGUGGGCUGACCCGACGAGCUUUAAACCUGAGAGGUUUGAGAAUGGUCAACAAGCAGAUGUACGUGGCUUCCUUCCUUUUGGGAUGGGGAGGAGGGCAUGUCCUGGGUCGGGGUUAGGCCUAAGAACUAUGUGCUUGACUCUAGGCUCGUUGAUUCAAUGCUUUGAUUGGAAAAAGAUUGGCAAGGAAGAAAUUAACAUGGUCGAAGGACAUGGAACUUUGGUUCCCAUGGCCAUUCCAUUGGAAGUCCAAUGCAAAACGCGCUCAAUAAUCAACAAGAUUUUCACAUAACAAUUGUAUAUUAAUUUGUCAAAGAAUUAAAUGAUAUGAGCCAAGUGAAUAAUGUUGAAGAAGUGGAGAAGUUGUUCUUUGGUGCCAAGGUCAUUCCAUUGUUUAUUUUUCUCANNNNNNNNNNNNNNNNNNNNNNNNNNNNNNNNNNNNNNNNNNNNNNNNNNNNNAAAAUUCAAAAAGCUGAACUAAAUUUUAUCUUUAAUAAACUAUGAGAUCAUUUUAUCUUUUUCACAAAGUCUCUUAGCUUCUUUUUUCCAAUGUUAAUUCAUCACUUUAACAAUAAAUAAUUUAGGAAAAUAUAAUCUUCUUGUAAAAUUGAAUUGGGAUGCAAGUGUUUAGGUUCAAACUCAAUUUUAAACAUACACAAAGUAGGAGAUGGUUCAGUGAAAUCACAACCAUCCAUUUAUUUUAAAAUAAAAUAAAAUUAUAGGAGUAAUUUUAAUAAAAAUGAAAGACUGAUAUUUUACUGUACAUAAAUUAAGUGCACGGAGAGGAUCAACUCUCAAAAAGUAGACAAUUCAAUAUUUAGUUGAAAGUUUUAUUUUUUCUCUAAUUUUACUUUUAUGUCAUUUACGUACAAGUCUUUUACAUAACUACAACUAUUACUUGUGCUUUACUCAAUCAAUUAACCCUUACGUUUUUCAACUAAUUUAAACCUUAAACUUAGACUAGUUUGAGAGACAUUUUCAAAAUUAUCACUCCUUCUACACAUAAGAUUAUCAAAUAACUUGUUCGGACUCACACGACCAUAGUGAUUAAACAUUUCUUUGUGUUUUUGAAUUGGAUCAAUUUUUUUAUUUUAAAACUUGGUAUCCGACCCUAGGGUCGACUAAUCUAAGAAGACUAAUUUCACCGCCCACUUGAGAGGGUCUCAUUUAAAGCCAGAGUUUUUUUUUUUCUCUGUAUGGACCAACCCGUCGAAAUUGGCACCGGCGGAAAUCAAAUCUGAAACCUUGAGAGGAACAUACUCCAAGAACCCAAGUCAAUACCACUAAACCAACCCAAUUGAGUUUGAAUUGGAUAAAUUUAAUUUUUAUCAUUAACCAAAAAUCACCGUAAACACCAAUCCAUCCAAGAUCUUUCCAAAGGACCACAUUCGCAGACAUUUUAUAGUGAUCCAAUUUUAAAAUAAAAAUUAAGUUAUAACUAAAUUUUUCAUAUAUUAUAUAUAUUUAUAUAACUAAAUUGAAAUUUUUUAGGCUUUCUGUUUUUUCAAAAUUUUGAGGUGUAAAGCUCUCUCGGUCACUAUNNNNNNNNNNNNNNAUAAAGUUAAUGAUGAGAGAGAAUAACUUUUCACAUCAUUAAAACAUUGAAUGCACAAUUUACGAGAUAAAACUUCUAUAUUUGUAUCCUUAACUAGUGCCCCGGGGGCACUGUUUAGCAUUUUUCUUUCAUAAAAAUUGCAUCAUUUAUUUUUUUUUGUUACCAUGAUUAUAAAUUUUCACCGUCAUUAGAGAUAACUAAUCUCCAUGGAGAAACCUGUGCGAUACAUAAAGUGAGUUCUCUCCAAUCGAAUUUUCUUCAUACGCAUUAGCCAGGAUUCAAACCUCUAACCACAUGUUUAAAGGACCAAAACUUUCACCAAUUGGACCAAAUAAAAAUUGCAUUAUUACUUGAAGAAAAUUCCAUUAUGUGUCGGGUCCAUUUUUUUGUGUACCACAACUAUUCCAAUCCAACCCCUUCUUUUUUGGUCAUAAUAUACAACGCCNNNNNNNNNNNNNNNNNNNNNNNNNNACUCUUCUGUGUGUCGGGUCCAACUUUAAAGCUAGUACAAAUCAAAGAAGAAAUUAAUGCUGACCUUUCUAAGAAGAUAAAGGAAUUUUGAGACCCUAUAUAUGCCACACACAUGUAAUUCAUAUAUGGUCAGAUUUGAAUUCAUAAAUCAUCACCUACAAAGAUUUUAAUCUAAACACAUGGAAUACAACUUUAUUGUCUACAUAAUUUUCCCUUUCCUUUUUCUUAUAUCUAUAAAAUUAUUAUUAUUUUCCAAUAGAAGACUCAAAAAGCUUCCACCAUGCCCACCUUCUUUUCCCAUAAUUGGCAACCUCCAUCAACUUAAACAACCAAUUCACCUAUAUUUUCAUGAACUCUCCCAAAAAUAUGGUCCUAUUUUCACCCUUAAAUUUGGGUCUCAACUUGUUGCAGUAGUUUCAUCGGCGUCUAUUGCCGAGGAAUGUUUCACCAAAAAUGAUAUUAUUUUUGCAAACCGUAUACACUCUCUUAAAACCAAGUAUCUUGCUUUCGAUAACACAAGCCUUAUUACCUCAUCGUAUGGAGAUCAUUGGCGUAAUUUACGUCGUAUAAGCUCACUAGAAAUUCUCUCUACUCACCGUCUCAACUCUUUUUCAGAAAUCCGUAAAGACGAGACCAUGAGGUUAGUUCGAGAACUUGCUAAGAACUCUAACAAAGACUUCACAAAAGUUGAGCUUAGAUCUUUGUUUGCUGAGCUAACAUUUAACACAAUCAUGAGAAUGGUUUGUGGUAAACGCUUUUAUGGUGAUGAAUCUGAUGGAACAAACGCCGAUGAGGCAAAGAAAUUUCGAGAUGUCAUGAAUGAGAUUCAAGAGUUUGGGUUGGGAUCCUAUCUUGGUGAUUUUGUGCCUUUAUUCAGAUUGUUUGAUUUUAGUGGUUAUAAGAAUAAGUUAAAAAGGGUUGGAGAGAAGAUGGAUGCACUUUUUCAAGGACUAGUUGAUGAUCAUCGUAAGAACAAAAAGGAAAAUAAAAAUACCAUGAUUGAUCACUUACUUUCCUUACAAGAAUCGCAACCUGAAUAUUACAGCGACCAAAUUAUCAAAGGGCUUAUUAUGGUUAGUCACUUAUUAUUACUCUUCCCUCCAUGAUCUUUAGUCUUUUAAAUGGUCAAUUUUUAUUUUAUUUUUACAAAAAAAAUAUUAUAUUGAUUGUUU
Molecule: long non-coding RNA, 4283 nt
Filed under: Trifolium pratense (red clover)
Lineage: Eukaryota; Viridiplantae; Streptophyta; Magnoliopsida; Fabales; Fabaceae
Description: long non-coding RNA (TPRA_LNC000682)
Source: RNAcentral